AGAGCGAACGCUGGCGGCAGGCUUAACACAUGCAAGUCGAGCGGGCGUAGCAAUACGUCAGCGGCAGACGGGUGAGUAACGCGUGGGAACGUACCUUUUGGUUCGGAACAACCCAGGGAAACUUGGGCUAAUACCGGAUAAGCCCUUACGGGGAAAGAUUUAUCGCCGAAAGAUCGGCCCGCGUCUGAUUAGCUAGUUGGUGAGGUAAUGGCUCACCAAGGCGACGAUCAGUAGCUGGUCUGAGAGGAUGAUCAGCCACAUUGGGACUGAGACACGGCCCAAACUCCUACGGGAGGCAGCAGUGGGGAAUAUUGGACAAUGGGCGCAAGCCUGAUCCAGCCAUGCCGCGUGAGUGAUGAAGGCCCUAGGGUUGUAAAGCUCUUUUGUGCGGGAAGAUAAUGACGGUACGCAAGAAUAAGCCCGGCUAACUUCGUGCCAGCAGCCGC
This 446-nucleotide ribosomal RNA is filed under the name uncultured bacterium. RNAcentral's name for it is "SSU rRNA". It matches the Rfam family "Bacterial small subunit ribosomal RNA", at positions 26 to 518 of the family's 1533-position model. The record is from RNAcentral.